AAAUGCGAUAAGUAAUGUGCAUUGCAGAAUUCAGUGAAUCAUCGAAUCUUUGAACGCACAUUGCGCCCCCUGGUAUUCCGGGGGGCAUGCCUGUUCGAGCGUCAUUUCACCACUCAAGCCUCGCUUGGUAUUGGGCGACGCGGUCCGCCGCGCGCCUCAAAUCGACCGGCUGGGUCUUUCGUCCCCUCAGCGUUGUGGAAACUAUUCGCUAAAGGGUGCCGCGGGAGGCCACGCCGUAAAACAACCCCAUUUCUAAGGUUGACCUCGGAUCAGGUAGGGAUACCCGCUGAACUUAAGC
RNAcentral lists this unclassified non-coding RNA (298 nucleotides) under plant metagenome. Its description in RNAcentral is "partial contains 5.8S ribosomal RNA, internal transcribed spacer 2, and large subunit ribosomal RNA". The stretch from base 1 to 104 matches the Rfam family "5.8S ribosomal RNA", at positions 51 to 154 of the family's 154-position model. The record is from RNAcentral.